RNAcentral lists this long non-coding RNA (294 nucleotides) under Citrus sinensis (sweet orange). Its description in RNAcentral is "long non-coding RNA (CSIN_LNC005435)". Lineage: Eukaryota; Viridiplantae; Streptophyta; Magnoliopsida; Sapindales; Rutaceae. The record is from RNAcentral.
UUUCUUUUUCUCUUUUUUAAAAUUCUGUAAUUUAAUUUUCAAUUUAUUUUUUUCUUUGUAAUUUUUGUUUAUUUUAUUAAUUUAAUUUUUAGUUAAUUUAUUUCACGUAUUUAUUUUUGUGUAUUUUUAUAGAAAGGUUGUAAUAGCGCAAUAAGGUUAGUAUCGUAAUUUCUCCCUCUUCUUUAUUUUUAUUUGUUUUGUUCCCAUCUUUAUUUUUAUUUUAUUUGUUUUGCAUGCAUGGUCGUAGGUCAUUAUUACCUAAUCUUGAACGUAUAGACCUUGAAUUAGAAAAAA